This 404-nucleotide ribosomal RNA is filed under the name Verrucomicrobiota bacterium. Its description in RNAcentral is "Verrucomicrobia bacterium partial 16S ribosomal RNA". It matches the Rfam family "Bacterial small subunit ribosomal RNA", at positions 355 to 776 of the family's 1533-position model. The record is from RNAcentral. Lineage: Bacteria; Pseudomonadati; Verrucomicrobiota.
UGGGGAAUAUUGCACAAUGGGGGAAACCCUGAUGCAGCGACGCCGCGUGAGCGAUGAAGGCUUUCGAGUCGUAAAGCUCUGUCCUAAGGGAAGAUAAUGACGGUACCAUAGAAGAAAGCCCCGGCUAAUUACGUGCCAGCAGCCGCGGUAAUACGUAGGUGGCAAGCGUUGUCCGGAAUUAUUGGGCGUAAAGCGCGCGCAGGUGGUUUAGAAAGUCUGAUGUGAAAGCCCACGGCUCAACCGUGGAGGGUCAUUGGAAACUAAUAAACUUGAGUGCAGGGGAGAAGAGUGGAAUUCCUGGUGUAGCGGUGAAAUGCGUAGAGAUUAGGAGGAACACCGGUGGCGAAAGCGGCUUUUUGGCCUGCAACUGACCCUGAGGCGCGAAAGCGUGGGGAGCAAACAGG